Molecule: ribosomal RNA, 2229 nt
Filed under: Triticum aestivum (bread wheat)
Lineage: Eukaryota; Viridiplantae; Streptophyta; Magnoliopsida; Poales; Poaceae
Description: partial small subunit ribosomal RNA
Source: RNAcentral
AUGACACACCAUUUCGGAGCGGAAGCGGGACCAAUAAAAACCCUUGCCUCCGCCGAACCACGGUGCGGCGGUCCCGGGAUGGCGGCGCCGGCAGAACCCGGUGAAAUCGAGGGCUACCUCGGCCUCCGCGACGUGCGGGUCAAGCUGGACCUGGGUAAGGCCCGAGGCAGGGGAGAAGAAGGCGCGGGCGCGGGCGCGGGCGGAGGAUUCGCCGUCUGCUUCUGGCUCUACCUCUCCGGCUCCGCGAGGCCUUCCCCGGUUAUCCUUCACCAGAUAACUGCAGGAGAUGGCAAUAAGUUGCCAUUUCUUGCUUUAAGUGAAGGAAAUAAGCUGCUUCUCUUCCCAUUGCUGAGGUUGCACAAGCAAGCUCCUAGUUCCUCUAAUUCCUCUCCAUGGACUGACACGACGUAUAUAUCGGCUGUAAAUGAAUGCCCUCUUGAGCACUGGAUACACAUUGGAUGCGAGGUUACUGAAAAUGUUAUGCGCCUUCACAUUGAUGGCGAUCUAGUUGCCGAGGCUCAUCUUUGUUCACUAUCUAGCCAGCCAGACAAUCAAGAUGAUGCAUACCAAGUUUGCUUACUUGGAAACAAUAGCAAGGUCGAUGGCUAUGUCUACAAUGUCCAAGUGCUAUCUAUGCUAGGGACCAUACAGGAGCAAUACGCAGAGAAUCCACCGUCUAAGCUAUCUAUUGACUACUCGUGCUGCGAUGGAAUUGAGGAGGGCGAUGAUGGCAUUUGGUGCAUUGUCGGUGGGAAGGCUUCUUGUCGGAGGAACUUCAUGUUGGAAGUAGUACUAACAAACGCUUUUGGUGAACAUAUGAACAAGGAUACACAGAUUGUUGCUUCACUCGUCUAUGCUGACAAUGGAGCAUUAGUCGAGAAAUCAAGGGAUGAUGCAGAACCUCCCCUACUGAUUGCUUGCGAAGGACUUGAAUACCCAGCUGAAAGCAGGCCUCUUCCAAUUCUUCGUGGGCGUGCACUAUUUAAGCUCAAGAUAUCUCAGCUCUCUUCUAAAUGUGACAAUAAGCUGUUCCGCAUUUAUUUCUCAACACUUCACACACGCAAAUAUCCUUUUCUGGAGGCAUCUUCCAAGCCAAUUCGCUGUAUAUCCCGAGGCCGCCCCAGCCGUCCAUUGGGUGCUGCAAAGCGGUCAAGUUCUGCAACAGUCGAUGAAAUUCACUUGCUUAACAAUGGACAAGGGCUUGAUCGUGAUGGCAAAGCAAAUGCUUGCUCACUGUCUCAUGAUCAAAGUUCAGUGGCGUGUUUGCAUCCAUCCAAGUUUCUCAAGGUAGAAGGCGACGGAGCAGAGACUCACAAAAUGGUAUCCCAGAGUAAGCAGACUAGAAAGAUGGUAGUGGAAGCACAAAGUGCCAGAACUGAAUCUACGAUGUCAGACUCCGACAGCAUUGAUGCGAGAAGUUCUUGGAGUGGAUCAGAUAAGGAUGAAGCUGAAACUCUUUCAGAUGCUAUGAUCUUCAGAUAUUGUCUAGAAGGCACGUAUGAGCAGUCAACAUUUCUUAAAGGUGCAGCUUCUUCCAUCAAUGUGGACGAUUUGAUCACACUUGCAAAUGAGGUCUCUUUGUAUAGUGGAUGCUCCCAUCACAGAAACCAAAUAUUAAUUUCAAAGCAAUUGCUUGAAGAGGGUGCUGUAACUUGGAGCAUAAUCUCAAAGAACAAGGAGCGUGCUCUUUGGUCAUCUGCAGUUCCUGAAAUCAUGUCAAAAUUUAUGGACAUUGCCCAUUCUACGAACAGAGGUUUGUCAGAACAGGAUCUGGAGGUUUUAAAAGGAAUUGCUGGCUGUGGGGCUGAUCUUGGAAGGAACGAAUUUGAUAGGCUAUGGUAUUGGCUAUACCCAGUGGCCGUUUCUCUGUCGAAAGAUAAAAUCAACAGCCUAUGGGGUUGCACUGCACCUGCGUGGAUAGAGGGAUUGAUUACAACAGAGGAAGCCGAGAAUGCGCUAAGAAGCUCCAGGGAACUGCUCAAGAAACCGGGAACAUUCGUUCUUAGAUUCCCUACCACACGAAGCUGGCCACAUCCAGAUGCUGGAAGCCUCGUUGUCACCUAUGUUGGCUCCGAUAACUCAAUUCACCACAGACUUCUCUCCCUGGAUGUCAGCGAUGCUAGGGCUGGGAGUCUACAAGAUUUGCUGCUGCAGGAGCCUGAACUACUCCAGUUAGGCAGGGUUGAUCGCCUUCCGACUGCCAUGAAAUAUUAUUCCAGUGUGCUAUAA